GAGCCCCGCCCCACAUUUGAACGGUUUUUCCAGAACGUUCAUCCACAUCAUUACCAGACUUUGCAGAUGGAAGAAGGUGAAUACGGGACAAUGAAGACUUGAACAGGAAGUCACAACAGUCUUCAGGAGCGUGAGGAGAAUCAGCCUUUGUAUGCACAAAUAGCAACGACUUUGGACUAAAAAACAAGACAACUGGCCCUACAGAAUAUAGGAACUUCUGACUGCUGACACAAGGACGUCAGCCAAAAAGCAGUGAAAGAGGACUGUAGCGAUCAGCUGAUGAAGAUUGCCAUCAUCCAUCCGAAUGUGGCAGAGGAAAACCAAGAUCCUGUGUAUGUCUCGGUCAUCAUUGAGGGGACAGAAGUUCUGGAGGACUGCGGAAGUGUGACAAAUGAUUGCCUCUUGCUCAUGGGUGUCAUUUAUGCUGUCAACUUAAGGUACCCAUUGAAACUGGAAUAUACGUUUGAAGUUUUUCAGAAGCUGUUUCUUGAGCUUGACAUCCUUAAAAUGUCACCAAAGGUCCAGUCUCUCCGCAAGAAGCUUAUUGAGUCUGGAGGGAGAGAUGAGAGUUAAAGCAAACAGGAAACAUGCAGCACUUAAAGCAGGACUCUCUCCUGUGUUUCACACCUGUAUACUUGUUACCAGCUUCUUUAUGCUCUCCUUCGAGGACACGUCCACCACAGCCGCCAUGUGAACCUGACCUCUCAGGUCACCUGACAGGCUCCCCAGCGUCUCAUUGGCCGACUCCUCACUGACGUCAGCGACCACCACGGAGGCGCCUUCAGAGGCAAAACGCUGGCAGACCGCCCGUCCAAUCCCACUGCCUCCUCCUGGGUGGAAGAGAGGAGCAUGAAGUCAGAGAGGACGGAUGUCAAAGAAAAUACAAGAGGUUGAGACAUGAAUUAAUGAAGAUUAAUGUCCUCAGAGGACUAACCUGAGCUAAACAUAUUCUUAUUCAGGCCUCCAUGUGCAGUUUAAAAUCCAUUUACAUUUAAAUCACAACCUCAAACAUGACAACAUUUAUCAUUUUAACUGCAUUAAUCUGAUCCAAAUUUAACUUUCAACCAAAACUCAACUCAGUGUGCUUACAUCUUGAAAGGCCAAUAAAAGGACAAAUGACACUGUUUUAUUAUUUAUAUUACAGCUGAAAUGUUUCAUCAAAAAUAAAACAAUGAUUAAUGAUUAAGUGUUUCAACAAUCUAUUAAUCGUUUUAAUGACUCACUGGACAAAACUUCACUGGUUGAUUCACUUUUUCACUUCAGAGUCGAUUUAACUAGAUCACAGUCUGAGGACAGAAGUUUAAGGUUCAAUAAGGGUUUGUAAAGACGAGCGCUGUUCACAGAAAAGAAAGGGGAAACAAAAAAUGGAUUCUAACAUAAAAUUUGUCUGUUUCCCAGAAAAUGUUGUGGAUUUUGACAAAGUGUGUUUUUUACACCUGCCACUUCUUUAUAUUCUUUUUGUCAACAUGUCCACCACAGCUGCUUUUCAUGUGAAUUUAUGAGGCAAUAAUGACCUCAGAGUGAAGACAGAGUUCACCCAGGAGCUUUGGAUACAUUUGAUAAAAAGAAAAUCAAUAAAUGAGGACAGACUGACAAACUGGACAGGAGACAAACUUUAACUAGAGAUGUUUUCAUCACCUCUCUGGUUCAGGCUUCCAUUUAAAAUGUUUUAAUACUAAAAGAAAAUAUUCACCUAAGCACACCUCUUUGUGUCAGCCUUGCAUUGCCACUGAGCUUUUAACAUUAAUCCCUGUACUGAAUCAUUCUGUGCAUUUGAACUGUAUCUGUUGUUAUUCUGCAUCCUGAACCUCCAGCCCAUUUAAUAAUUAACCAGUCAUAAAACAGUCAAAGAUAAGGAUUGAUCGGUGUGGAUUUUGAUAAUUAUUUACUAAUUUUUGUGAUUCAUCAAGCAAAAAUGUUGAAUAUUCACUGUCUGAGGCUUCUCCUACACGAUGAUUUGCUGUAAUUUACAUGACUGGAAAGCACUGUUCCCUCUAAGCUGCGCGCGUGCGCAAUUGCGCACUGCUGACACGGUCUCCGCGCACAGAAAAUCUGCGCUGCACACACAAAAAAAAUCCAACCUAAAUUGUAAAUAAAAUAAACACGUAACAAUUCAUUCUGUGCUAUUUUUCAGUGUGAGUCAGUGAGUGACCGGUGACUGGCUGCUGCAGCCAAUGAUGCGAUUCACAUACGUAUUUACCAUAGACUGUAUAUAAUGGUAUUUACGCAGCUAAUCAACGUCAGGCGUCCUUAUGUGCAGCCACCGUUGUUCUCAUAGAUAUGAAUGAGUAGAUAGGACACGCCCCUUUGAGCUGCGUGCUAUGGCGAGGCUAAGCUAGUGGAGGCAAAGUUUCAGUGCAUUCCGUUGAUGUAGACGGCGUGAAAACGUAAACAAGAAGUAUGUCGGCUCACUGUGCUACAUACAAUUACACACUACAUCGUACGAUUGAGACAAGGAAACUUGGAAUGACUUUUCAUAGGUUUCCCAGAGACUAUGGGUUGAGGAGGAAUUGGAAGUUUGUCGGCUUAGACCUGGUGUCAUUCCAUCAGUGUUAAACUUCCCGGCUCAUCUUGGAAGAGUACGUGCCAGAAAGACCACGACCAAGCAGCCUUGAGAUCUUAGGCAGCGUCUCCCUGAGGUCCCUCUCUAUCUCCCCACACAUCCACCAACCACUGGAACACAUCUCCAAAGUUCUGCCGGGCCAGCUCAGCUUCCCCUCAGAAGAAGUGCUGCCACCUGCCAGAUGAAGGAGCCUUUUGAGAGGCAGCUGGCAUCGUGAUUGGACUGUACUUUGGUCUGUUCCAAUCCAGCUUCAGUUCCAGAGACGGCAGGCGGGACGAGUCAACGGAGGCCGGGUGGACGAAGGCAUGCAGCUGAGUACAAUCCAGAAAACAACAGAGGAGGAGUGCAGCGACCCAGAGCCAGAACAACCAGAGUAGCAUGACUAAAGAACUACAGACUCUUCACAACCUGCUCAAACUCUUGGUACAGGACCUCACCACACGGGUCAAGAAGGUUUCUGUCUCAUUUCUACUCUGAAGCUCACCUUCUCUUGCUCAAACUGCUGACAAAUGUUUCUGCUGCUCUAAAGUCUGGUCUCCAGAACUUCCUAAAAACUCUUAAAGUCUCUUCUGCUGCAGGUUGCUUUGUAGAACUGUUCCAGAAAACCUCACUAAACCACAUGGAGGGGCCUCAAGAUAGUCGUCCAAAUGAAACCGUACAAAAACCAAACUAGCACAACCCAAAUGCUAAAGUCUCCUGCAGCCUACCAGAGAACCUCUGAGAACAGAGAAUCAGGACAGGAACUCUUACCUUCUGGACAACCAACCUUGGUUCUCAAAGAGGAAUACAGAAUGUGUCUGACCAAAAACCUCUGAAGACUCACUACAGCCAAGAUAAAGACACAACUCAGCUGUACCAAAUCCACUAAUCACUGCACACAUUAACACCAUGUGCUAACUGUGGUUAAAGAACCACAUUUACUAAGACAACUAUCCAGUACAAAGCCCUCAAACACACCAAGAAACACAUUAAAGACGAUUUUACUGCUGGAAGCUGCAAGUCAACACCUAAAGAACAAACUAAAGCAAAGGAACCAAACCCGGUUCAGUGCUGAAGAGAAACAGAGGAAAUGUUUGUCUGCAGCUAAAUAAAGCAGGAAGACACUGAGCUGCUCAGGUGUUCCUGAUAACACCAAGCAGCCACCUGGACAGCCAAUAGGAACGCAGCUUCCUGGAAGUCCAGAGGGCGGGGUUAGGGAAGGAAAUUUAGUUUAAAGUUGAAGCAGAAAGUUAAUAAAGAAAGUUGAAAACCACCUUCUGAUCCCUGAAAUCUCAGAGUUUUCACACAAAGAACACCUGAACAUGUCAAACUGGUUCCAUAGUAGAACCAUCAUUGUAAAAAUGUCAUAGUAUGGUCUGUUGCUCAAAAAACAUUACGACCCGGCUGUCAGGGGACAAACAUGUAAGAAACAUGAGAACAGAGAGAACCCAACCAGUAGGUCACAGUUUAUCAUCAUCUAAUCAUCUCCUGAAGUCCAUAUGGUGAGAGACAUCAGUAUCUGGUUGUUAAUUUACCAGAGGAUGCUUAUAAUCAUGCUGAUGUGGUCUGUACUCUACAGUAUUUUAGUGACUCAAUAAAUGCCUAAGUUGUUUUUUUUAAAUGCUUUUUAGUUUUUAAUAAACAUUUAACAGCCUAUAUGUAAUCAAUAAAUGGUCUUUGUCUAUCUUAAGAAAAACUCACUCAGAACUCUGAUAUGUUAACAGUACUAAAUAAAUCAAUAAAUACAUGCAUACACACAAAAAUAAGUUAAUACAUUAACUGUGUUAAGAUAAGAUUUAGAUUUUUUAAAAAGUUGUUUAUGUUUUUGCAGAAUCCAGUAUUGCUCACUGGUUGGUCAUUACAUUUUGUUAGUUUGAUUUCACUGUUUAAAAUGAUGCCACCUCUUUUCAGACAAAACCUGUGAUAAUAAAACAAUACAAAAUGUUUAGUUCUGUGUUAAUAAAGCACUUAAAGCUUUAA
Amphiprion ocellaris (clown anemonefish) is the source of this 4522-nucleotide long non-coding RNA. RefSeq lists it as uncharacterized. NCBI's taxonomy places the organism in Eukaryota, Metazoa, Chordata, Actinopteri, Pomacentridae. The record is from RefSeq and is a predicted model, not a curated record. The transcript has 8 exons.